RNAcentral lists this ribosomal RNA (274 nucleotides) under uncultured bacterium. RNAcentral's name for it is "partial 16S ribosomal RNA". It matches the Rfam family "Bacterial small subunit ribosomal RNA", at positions 523 to 796 of the family's 1533-position model. The record is from RNAcentral.
AUACGGAGGGUGCGAGCGUUGUUCGGAAUUACUGGGCGUAAAGGGCGCGCAGGCGGCUUGAUAAGUCAGAUGUGAAAGCCCACGGCUCAACCGUGGAAGUGCAUCUGAAACUGUCUGGCUUGAGUACUGGAGAGGAAAGUGGAAUUCCUGGAGUAGAGGUGAAAUUCGUAGAUAUCAGGAGGAACACCGGUGGCGAAGGCGACUUUCUGGACAGAUACUGACGCUGAGGCGCGAAAGCGUGGGGAGCAAACAGGAGUAGAAACCCCAGUAGUCC